AUUGAACGCUGGCGGCAUGCUUUACACAUGCAAGUCGAACGGCAGCGCGGGCUUCGGCCUGGCGGCGAGUGGCGAACGGGUGAGUAAUACAUCGGAACGUGCCCAGUAGUGGGGGAUAGCUCGGCGAAAGCCGGAUUAAUACCGCAUACGACCUGAGGGUGAAAGCGGGGGAUCUUCGGACCUCGCGCUAUUGGAGCGGCCGAUGGCAGAUUAGCUAGUUGGUGGGGUAAAGGCCUACCAAGGCGACGAUCUGUAGCUGGUCUGAGAGGACGACCAGCCAAACCGGGACUGAAGCAAGGGCCAGACUCCUACGGGAGGCAGCAGUGGGGAAUUUUGGACAAUCGGCGAAAGCCUGAUCCAGCAAUGCCGCGUGUGUGAUGAAGGCCUUCGGGUUGUAAAGCACUUUUGGCGGGAACGAAAAGGACUGUGCCAAUACCACGGUUCGAUGACGGUACCCGCAGAAUAAGCACCGGCUAACUACGUG
RNAcentral lists this ribosomal RNA (484 nucleotides) under uncultured bacterium. RNAcentral's name for it is "partial 16S ribosomal RNA". It matches the Rfam family "Bacterial small subunit ribosomal RNA", at positions 29 to 507 of the family's 1533-position model. The record is from RNAcentral.